GAUGAACGCUGGCGGCGUGCCUAAUACAUGCAAGUCGAGCGAACGGACGAGAAGCUUGCUUCUCUGAUGUUAGCGGCGGACGGGUGAGUCACACGUGGAUAACCUACCUAUAAGACUGGGAUAACUUCGGGAAACCGGAGCUAAUACCGGAUAAUAUUUUGAACCGCAUGGUUCAAAAGUGAAAGACGGUCUUGCUGUCACUUAUAGAUGGAUCCGCGCUGCAUUAGCUAGUUGGUAAGGUAACGGCUUACCAAGGCAACGAUGCAUAGCCGACCUGAGAGGGUGAUCGGCCACACUGGAACUGAGACACGGUCCAGACUCCUACGGGAGGCAGCAGUAGGGAAUCUUCCGCAAUGGGCGAAAGCCUGACGGAGCAACGCCGCGUGAGUGAUGAAGGUCUUCGGAUCGUAAAACGCUGUUAUUAGGGAAGAACAUAUGUGUAAGUAACUGUGCACAUCUUGACGGUACCUAAUCAGAAAGCCACGGCUAACUACGUG
This 497-nucleotide ribosomal RNA is filed under the name uncultured bacterium. RNAcentral's name for it is "partial 16S ribosomal RNA". It matches the Rfam family "Bacterial small subunit ribosomal RNA", at positions 28 to 507 of the family's 1533-position model. The record is from RNAcentral.